CAUGCAAGUCGAACGUGAUUUUUAUGGAAUAGCCUUCGGGAUAGGAAAUGAAAUGAAAGUGGCGAACGGGUGAGAUAACACGUGAGCAACCUACCUUACACAGGGGGAUAGCCGUUGGAAACGACGAUUAAUACCGCAUGAGACCACAGAACCGCACGGUAAGGGGUCAAAGAUUUAUCGGUGUAAGAUGGGCUCGCGUCUGAUUAGCUAGUUGGAAGGGUAAAGGCCUACCAAGGCGACGAUCAGUAGCCGGUCUGAGAGGAUGAACGGCCACAUUGGAACUGAGACACGGUCCAAACUCCUACGGGAGGCAGCAGUGGGGAAUAUUGCACAAUGGGGGAAACCCUGAUGCAGCGACGCCGCGUGAGCGAAGAAGGUUUUCGAAUCGUAAAGCUCUGUCCUAUGAGAAGAUAAUGACGGUAUCAUAGGAGGAAGCCCCGGCUAAAUACGUGCCAGCAGCCGCGGUAAUACGUAUGGGGCGAGCGUUGUCCGGAAUUAUUGGGCGUAAAGGGUACGUAGGCGGUCUAUUAAGUCAGGUGUGAAAGCGUGAGGCUUAACCUCAUUAAGCACUUGAAACUGAUAGACUUGAGUGAAGGAGAGGAAAGUGGAAUUCCUAGUGUAGCGGUGAAAUGCGUAGAUAUUAGGAGGAAUACCGGUGGCGAAAGCGACUUUCUGGACUUUUACUGACGCUCAGGUACGAAAGCGUGGGGAGCAAACAGGAUUGGAUACCCUGGUAGUCCACGCCGUAAACGAUGAAUGCUAGGUGUUGGGGGUCAAACCUCGGUGCCGAAGUUAACACAUUAAGCAUUCCGCCUGGGGAGUACGGUGGCAACACUGAAACUCAAA
Molecule: ribosomal RNA, 846 nt
Filed under: uncultured bacterium
Lineage: Bacteria
Description: bacterial SSU rRNA
Rfam family: Bacterial small subunit ribosomal RNA
Source: RNAcentral